This 489-nucleotide ribosomal RNA is filed under the name Bacillus cereus. RNAcentral's name for it is "bacterial SSU rRNA". It matches the Rfam family "Bacterial small subunit ribosomal RNA", at positions 154 to 628 of the family's 1533-position model. Lineage: Bacteria; Bacillati; Bacillota; Bacilli; Caryophanales; Bacillaceae. The record is from RNAcentral.
AAACCGGGGCUAAUACCGGAUAACAUUUUGAACCGCAUGGUUCGAAAUUGAAAGGCGGCUUCGGCUGUCACUUAUGGAUGGACCCGCGUCGCAUUAGCUAGUUGGUGAGGUAACGGCUCACCAAGGCAACGAUGCGUAGCCGACCUGAGAGGGUGAUCGGCCACACUGGGACUGAGACACGGCCCAGACUCCUACGGGAGGCAGCAGUAGGGAAUCUUCCGCAAUGGACGAAAGUCUGACGGAGCAACGCCGCGUGAGUGAUGAAGGCUUUCGGGUCGUAAAACUCUGUUGUUAGGGAAGAACAAGUGCUAGUUGAAUAAGCUGGCACCUUGACGGUACCUAACCAGAAAGCCACGGCUAACUACGUGCCAGCAGCCGCGGUAAUACGUAGGUGGCAAGCGUUAUCCGGAAUUAUUGGGCGUAAAGCGCGCGCAGGUGGUUUCUUAAGUCUGAUGUGAAAGCCCACGGCUCAACCGUGGAGGGUCAUUG